Molecule: ribosomal RNA, 220 nt
Filed under: uncultured Lactobacillus sp.
Lineage: Bacteria; Bacillati; Bacillota; Bacilli; Lactobacillales; Lactobacillaceae
Description: partial 16S ribosomal RNA
Rfam family: Bacterial small subunit ribosomal RNA
Source: RNAcentral
CCUACGGGAGGCAGCAGUAGGGAAUCUUCCACAAUGGGCGCAAGCCUGAUGGAGCAACACCGCGUGAGUGAAGAAGGGUUUCGGCUCGUAAAACUCUGUUGUUGAAGAAGAACGUGCGUGAGAGUAACUGUUCACGCAGUGACGGUGUUCAACCAGAAAGUCACGGCUAACUACGUGCCAGCAGCCGCGGUAAUACGUAGGUGCCAGCAGCCGCGGUAAU